Molecule: long non-coding RNA, 211 nt
Organism: Solanum dulcamara
Lineage: Eukaryota; Viridiplantae; Streptophyta; Magnoliopsida; Solanales; Solanaceae
Exons: 3
Source: RefSeq, a predicted model, not a curated record
CAUCAGCCAACAUAGAGAAACAAAACGUGAGGGAGAGAAAUAGAGAGGCAGCCAUGGUUCUUGAAGUUUAAAGGUUUACAUGUAUCUGCUCGAAAAAUGGUGAUGAAGCGUAGAGGAGGUACUGCUCAGAUUUGGUUUUGGAAAUUCUACACGGACAGCUGUUCGGAAGACGACGAGACGAGCAGGAUGAAGGGUAGCUCCCAAAAGGUAU